This 82-nucleotide transfer RNA is filed under the name Planctomycetota bacterium. RNAcentral's name for it is "Planctomycetes bacterium tRNA-Leu". It matches the Rfam family "tRNA". Rfam says of the family: Transfer RNA (tRNA) molecules are approximately 80 nucleotides in length. Their secondary structure includes four short double-helical elements and three loops (D, anti-codon, and T loops). Further hydrogen bonds mediate the characteristic L-shaped molecular structure. tRNAs have two regions of fundamental functional importance: the anti-codon, which is responsible for specific mRNA codon recognition, and the 3' end, to which the tRNAs corresponding amino acid is attached (by aminoacyl-tRNA synthetases). tRNAs cope with the degeneracy of the genetic code in two manners: having more than one tRNA (with a specific anti-codon) for a particular amino acid; and 'wobble' base-pairing, i.e. permitting non-standard base-pairing at the 3rd anti-codon position. Lineage: Bacteria; Pseudomonadati; Planctomycetota. The record is from RNAcentral.
GCGGCUGUGGCGGAACUGGCAGACGCGCUAGAUUUAGGUUCUAGUGGGGCAACCCGUGGAGGUUCGAGUCCUCCCAGCCGCA